RNAcentral lists this ribosomal RNA (275 nucleotides) under uncultured bacterium. RNAcentral's name for it is "partial 16S ribosomal RNA". It matches the Rfam family "Bacterial small subunit ribosomal RNA", at positions 399 to 691 of the family's 1533-position model. The record is from RNAcentral.
GCGUGAAUGAAGAAGGCCUUAGGGUUGUAAAGUUCUUUCAAUGGUGAAGAUAAUGACGGUAACCAUACAAGAAGCCCCGGCUAAUUUCGUGCCAGCAGCCGCGGUAAUACGAAAGGGGCUAGCGUUGUUCGGAAUUACUGGGCGUAAAGCGCACGUAGGCGGCAUUGUAAGUUGGGGGUGAAAUCCCGAGGCUCAACCUCGGAACUGCCUCCAAAACUACAAAGCUAGAGGAUGUGAGAGGAUAGUGGAAUUCCGAGUGUAGAGGUGAAAUUCGU